GGACAGGUGGCCGAGUGGUUAAAGGCAGCAGACUGUAAAUCUGCCGGGCUUCGCCCUACAAUGGUUCGAAUCCAUUCCUGUCCACCA
RNAcentral lists this transfer RNA (87 nucleotides) under Zymomonas mobilis. Its description in RNAcentral is "tRNA-Tyr". It matches the Rfam family "tRNA". From Rfam's summary of the family: Transfer RNA (tRNA) molecules are approximately 80 nucleotides in length. Their secondary structure includes four short double-helical elements and three loops (D, anti-codon, and T loops). Further hydrogen bonds mediate the characteristic L-shaped molecular structure. tRNAs have two regions of fundamental functional importance: the anti-codon, which is responsible for specific mRNA codon recognition, and the 3' end, to which the tRNAs corresponding amino acid is attached (by aminoacyl-tRNA synthetases). tRNAs cope with the degeneracy of the genetic code in two manners: having more than one tRNA (with a specific anti-codon) for a particular amino acid; and 'wobble' base-pairing, i.e. permitting non-standard base-pairing at the 3rd anti-codon position. Lineage: Bacteria; Pseudomonadati; Pseudomonadota; Alphaproteobacteria; Sphingomonadales; Zymomonadaceae. The record is from RNAcentral. RNAcentral also lists the same sequence under 11 other names.